Pogoniulus pusillus (Red-fronted tinkerbird) is the source of this 1242-nucleotide RNA transcript. It is a transcript of the gene named protein disulfide-isomerase TMX3-like, with no coding region annotated. The transcript has 6 exons. NCBI's taxonomy places the organism in Eukaryota, Metazoa, Chordata, Aves, Piciformes, Lybiidae. The record is from RefSeq and is a predicted model, not a curated record.
GCUCCGCAGUCGGACGCAUGCGGCAGUGGGAGCGGGGCGGAGCAGCGCGGGCGGAGCCGCAGGGAGCGGCAGUGGCGCUGAGCAGGCUGCAGCGGAAUGGCGGCGAGCACAGAGCGGCAGGCAGGCAGGCGGGCAGGGCGUUUCGGGCCAGAGGGAAGCCUCCCGCGUUCCCCGGCAGAGCUGCGUUCUUUGUCUCUCGCAGCAGAGGAGUUUGGGCAGCUGCAGGGAUGGAUUUGCCUGCACUCAAGCUGCUGCUGCCAGAGCCCCUCCGUGUCAAUCUGUGCUGCCGUUGGGUUCUGCAGCUCUCUCCAGCAAGCAUGGCAUGAGCUGAAGGAGCAGCAGGAGCAGCAUGGCCGUUCCCCAGGCAGCAGGAGGGUUCAGCCCAGCACCAGCUCAUGCGGGAGGAGCAGAUGCUGAGGAACAUCCCCCACGAGACGCAGGUGGCCAAAGAGGCUGGGUCAGGAGAGUCCCAUUUCAUUCUUGAUGCUUUCUUUAAGAGAGGCAUACAACUGAGCUCCCUCAGAGAAGCAGCAUGAAGUGCAUGAAGGAUGCUGGCUGCACUCAGUACAGACAAGGCACAUUGGAGUAGGUUAACAAGAUGCUUGACAUUUGCCCUUAAUGGUCAUUGUCUUCAAAUGCAUCAUUCGGGAGUGAAGUUGCUUGGCAUUUGCAGUUGACUACUUCUUCUCUGGCCUUUGGAGUGAAGGAAGGGAAAAACCAGAGUUGAAGAUGUCAGCUCUGUGCCAAAAAGGAGACCUUCUUCACCUGCUUCUCCUGUGCAAGCUCUUCUGUCUGUCUGCUGAGAUGUUUCUGCCUGUUUCUCUGGCAGAGAAGUGUUUGCUUUUUUGGCUGGCGAGCUGACCAUCCGUACUACCGUCGCCUUGAAUGCCUCCAACCAGCAGUGUUUGCUGCCAGACAGACACCUGGAGAAGACAGAGGACAUGGUUAAGUUCAUGAAGGAUAUCUUGGAUGGUGCUGCUGAAGCACAGGCUGGUGAUGGACUUCUGCAACGAAGCAAGAGAGUCCUCUAUGAGGCCAAGGCUGCUGUAAUGGUAGAGUUCAUUGCUUAUUCAGUGAGGUGAUGCUCUUGUCAGUCAAGAAGGACUUAGUUGCAGAGGCUUUAGAAAUGCUUUGAUGUAAGCUUGUUGCUAUGCUGUGCCUAGUGUAUCUAUUGUCACUAUUUAGAACUAGGCUUAAACCAAAUGAACUUCUGGAUUAAAACAGCCAAUCAUGUCUGCCACA